RNAcentral lists this ribosomal RNA (450 nucleotides) under uncultured bacterium. Its description in RNAcentral is "bacterial SSU rRNA". It matches the Rfam family "Bacterial small subunit ribosomal RNA", at positions 29 to 524 of the family's 1533-position model. The record is from RNAcentral.
AACGAACGCUGGCGGCAGGCCUAACACAUGCAAGUCGAACGCCGUAGCAAUACGGAGUGGCAGACGGGUGAGUAACACGUGGGAACGUACCCUUCGGUUCGGAAUAACUCAGGGAAACUUGAGCUAAUACCGGAUACGUCCGAGAGGAGAAAGAUUUAUCGCCGAGGGAUCGGCCCGCGUCUGAUUAGCUUGUUGGUGAGGUAACGGCUCACCAAGGCGACGAUCAGUAGCUGGUCUGAGAGGAUGAUCAGCCACAUCGGGACUGAGACACGGCCCAAACUCCUACGGGAGGCAGCAGUGGGGAAUAUUGGACAAUGGGCGCAAGCCUGAUCCAGCCAUGCCGCGUGAGUGAUGAAGGCCCUAGGGUUGUAAAGCUCUUUUACCCGGGAAGAUAAUGACUGUACCGGGAGAAUAAGCCCCGGCUAACUUCGUGCCAGCCGCCGCAGUAAC